UCCCUGGUGGUCCAGUGGUGAAGACUCUAUGCUCGCAAUGAAGGGAACCUGGGUUCAAUCCCUGGUCAGAGAA
This 73-nucleotide transfer RNA is filed under the name Ovis aries (sheep). It matches the Rfam family "tRNA". Rfam says of the family: Transfer RNA (tRNA) molecules are approximately 80 nucleotides in length. Their secondary structure includes four short double-helical elements and three loops (D, anti-codon, and T loops). Lineage: Eukaryota; Metazoa; Chordata; Mammalia; Artiodactyla; Bovidae. The record is from Rfam by way of RNAcentral.